AUGGAAACUGCAAUUUCUGAUGUGCUCCCUCACACAACCCAUAGGUGUUGCAAGUGGCAUGUACAUCGGAAGGCGCGUGAGAAACUUGGGAGGAUGCUUACAAGGGAUUCAAUUUUUGAGAAAACUUUCUAUGAAUGCAUCAAUGAAUCCAAGACAGUGGAUGAAUUUGAAGAAACAUGGCAACACAUGUUGCAUUGCUUCGAGUACACGGAGAAUAGGCACUUACAAAACAUGUGGGAAUGCCGUCAGACAUGGGCUCCUGCAUACUUCAAAAAUUAUUUCUUCCCUUUCACAAGCAUAACCGGGAGACCAGAAGGGCUGAAUUCUUAUUUCAAGACGUUGGUGCAUCUACAAAACUCGGUUUUCACAUUUGUAAGGCAGUAUGAAUUCCUACAAGAAACAAUGCUAGACCGUGAAGAUAAUGUUGCUUUCACUGGAGAAACGACAACAUCGACAGCUUAUAAUGUAACGCAGCAUCUUUGGCAAGUUCCAAGAGCAAGCGGCAGCAUCAACAGCUUAUAUAAUCAAACAAGUGCCUAA
RNAcentral lists this ribosomal RNA (540 nucleotides) under Triticum aestivum (bread wheat). RNAcentral's name for it is "partial small subunit ribosomal RNA". Lineage: Eukaryota; Viridiplantae; Streptophyta; Magnoliopsida; Poales; Poaceae. The record is from RNAcentral.